Molecule: long non-coding RNA, 713 nt
Organism: Astatotilapia calliptera (eastern happy)
Lineage: Eukaryota; Metazoa; Chordata; Actinopteri; Cichliformes; Cichlidae
Source: Ensembl
CUUUUCCACUUAUAAAAGUUAACGUUAAGGUUCCUCAUGGUUAGAGACAAAUGCAAUCGCAUGGCAGGAUGCUGUAAAAGGACCAAUCUUCAGUCAGGAGAACAACUGAGAUAAUCCGUCCACAAUACGAGGGGUGAUUCUCAAGUCUGUUGGAGCCCAGGCAAAAAGGGACAAGGACACCUGACAGCCCAGUGUGCCCAGCAGAGCUGACAUGAGGGCUGUUUCAACUGAAUCACACACUCUGCUUGCCAGAGGUGAUCCAGGUGUUUUGUUUGUUUUUCUUUUUGUUCCUUCCCCCCUUUCUCAUCAUCUCUUCUCCCCUCUGUUUUUCUUUCUCUCCCUCUUUCUUUCAUUCUUUCCUUCUCCCUGUCCUUUCCCCCAGUCAUGUCUGUCCCGUCUGUAACAACUGAUAAUAAAAUAAAAUAAAUAAACAAUUAUAAUAAAGGUCAAUCAAAUGGACCAACAUGGCAUCUUUCUCGGCCUUCAAACAACAAUUCUGAUGGCUAAAGAUCCAAAUGGGACAGGCAAAAAAUAUAAAUGAUGAUAACCAUGUGCAGCUUCUCUCGUCUUCCAUUUUUCCCUGAUAUGUUUCACUCUAAAUCAGACACGUGUUAAAGUGUGUUGGCUGCAUGUUAAGGUCAAAAUGCUGAUGAGCUCUGAUCCAGUUGACUGAUAUACUCUGCUCUACAUCCUGCACUGAAAUAUGAGGAUUG